This 253-nucleotide ribosomal RNA is filed under the name uncultured bacterium. RNAcentral describes it as "partial 16S ribosomal RNA". It matches the Rfam family "Bacterial small subunit ribosomal RNA", at positions 524 to 776 of the family's 1533-position model. The record is from RNAcentral.
UACGUAGGGGGCAAGCGUUGUCCGGAUUUAUUGGGCGUAAAGAGCGUGUAGGCGGCCUGAAAGGUCAGCUGUGAAAACUCGAGGCUCAACCUCGAGACGUCGGUUGAAACCAUCUGGCUAGAGUCCGGAAGAGGAGUGUGGAAUUCCCGGUGUAGCGGUGAAAUGCGCAGAUAUCGGGAAGAACACCCGUGGCGAAGGCAGAUCUCUGGGCCGUAACUGACGCUGAGGAGCGAAAGCAUGGGGAGCGAACAGG